This is a long non-coding RNA of Rhincodon typus (whale shark), 2468 nucleotides long. RefSeq lists it as uncharacterized. NCBI's taxonomy places the organism in Eukaryota, Metazoa, Chordata, Chondrichthyes, Orectolobiformes, Rhincodontidae. The record is from RefSeq and is a predicted model, not a curated record. The transcript has 2 exons.
UGCACAUUCUGAGGAAGGAUAAAUUCUAAGGAAGGAUCACUGGAUCUGAAACAUUAAUUGUGAUUUUUCUUUACAGAUGCUGCCAGACCUGCUGAGCUUUUCGAACAACUUCUGUUUCUGUUCCUAAGUUUGCAAUUAGUUUAGCUAUAUCCACAAUAUGUUGGACAACUGAUUGGCACCAAUUGUCCUGAAUGUGGCAUUUAAAGUAUAUUCCUGUUCCUUUUUUGUGUGUGACAGAUCAAGCAUUCCUUCAAUUUUUUGGUGAUGAUUUUCUUCGAUUAUUGUUGACCCGGUUUAUUCUCUGCUCUGCAACCAUGAGACUUCACAAAAUGUUCAGGGAAACUCGGAAUUACCCAGAAACGUAUCCACAGCUGCAGAAAGAAGAUAGUGUGGAGAAUCCUGCACUCCAGAAUCACAUUCUAGAACUAGCUUCCAUGCUGGAUGUUAGAAGCCUUUUCUUGGAAAAGACCACAACUGAAUAUUAGGAGAAAGGCUGAAAAAUAAAUUUAACAACUUAUCUGAAGCCAUUGGUUCUGAAGACGAUAUUUUUCUUUGCAUCUACCUAUUUGGAUAAUUGAAACAGAAUUCUUUCCGAUCAAACAAAUUCUCAAAUACUGACGUAUCUGGCACAAUUAUUUUCUGUAAUUAUGUGUUCCAUAGUCAAUGUAUAAGUGUAUUGUGGAAAAAAAACAUUAACACAGUAGGAUACAAUUUUAAAGAUGAUUUUUAAACAAAAAAUAGCUAAAAAGGGCAUUUACUACAAAAGCAAUAGUAGCUUUUUGAAUGAUUCAUUUAUUCAUCCUAUGUUAUGGUUCAACACUAGAUGUCAAUAGGGUUUUGAGUGUUUUAUAAGUAUCUCCUGCCAGUAAUACAUGGAAGAAAAGUUUAAAUAUUGCCCAUGAUAUUUUGUUUCAUUUUGAGAGUUAUAGUUAAACAUAUGUGCUAGUUGUUGUCUUAUUAGCAAACCCUUUAAUGGUAACUUUUAGGAUACUUAAGAGAAAUCAAUAGUCCUGCUACUGGACCUUUACUGCAAUCAUAUACAACAUGUCCUGAAAAACACUGUAUAUAAUGGUAUAGAUUAUGUGACACUCCCAUACUGCACUGUGACAGUCGAGCAUGCAUGAAUGAUGAUUGAGCAUGAAAACUACCAGGAGUCAUUCAAGGCAGAGUCCAGUAGAUUUAAGGUGGGUUUACAUAUGUAUGUUGCUUUACACUAUUGGAAUUGUGACAAAGCAAGGUGACAUUAUAUCUGAUGGCUUCCAAUGCAAUCUGAUAUGUUCCAUUAAAUACACUUGAGUAUGAAAUAAUUGAAGUUACUUUUUAUUUAGUUAAGCUUCGUUUUGAGGAAAUAAAGGAUAUCCUUAAUUAGACUGCAUCGACUCAUCUUCCCUCUUUGAAAGAGGAAUUAUUUUAUUGGUAAAAUUACUAGUAGCUAUAAUUUAAUGUUUCUUUGUUCCUGAACAACUGGUAGAAAUUAGUAGUUAGUGUUCUCAACACAAACCAUGCCAGGUCACACAUCUUAUGGUUACUAGUAUUGUGUUGCACAACUAAUUUUAGUUCAGCCAUAAGACGCUGCUACAUUUUUAUACAUGGAUACUUGAAAUAAGCAAGUUUUUUGUGUAAAGCUUGGGUAUUCAUACCUUUGCCAAAUAUACUUUGUAUAUUAAUAUUAAAGUAAAAGAAACAAUCUUUCCUGUUAUGAUCCAUCCAUGACAAGUAUCAUGACUAUUAAAGCUUCAAUUUAUGCCUGUGAUGUCAUUGUUUUGCACCAUGUUAGAUUUUUUCCUAAGAUGUUUUAAGAGUGCUUUUUGACUUGUGCAAAAAAUUCACUUCAAUUCUAUCAAAUCAUCAUGUAAUUAUGAUUUAACUUAUGUUAUUGGUCUAAUAUUCUGUCACUUGAACUUGUAUCCCUUUAUUAAAGUCUGAAUACGUUUUAGCUAAAAUACAAUUUUAAGGUAUGUGAAACAAGAAGGCAGCUUAAUAAAAUGUUAAAGGAUUAUUGGCCAGAUGGCAAAAGUGGACAUUGUAGUAUUGAAAAUUUUACUUCCAAAGUUCUAAAAAUGGCCAAUAAUUACCAUGUAAAUAAUUGCAACUACAAAGAUGUUUAAAGAUUUUUUAAAUGGAGGAACUUUUGUGAAUCACGUUGUAUUCACUUAAUGCAGCCCAACUCCUGUGCUGCAACUUUUCAAAAGGUUGUUAAGCAUGUUAUUAGAUUUAAAUGUGAUCUUUUGUUACUAUCGUGAAGCAAAAAAGUGAAAAGAUGAAAGCAGAAUUCUGUACUUUUAGUUAUAUUAAGAGAAACAGAGGGCGCACACUGGAGAAGAUGUUCUCACUGUCUGCACAUUAUAAUGCGUCUUGUGAUUAACAUAACUGUUGUAUGUACAUUUUGAUUUUUACUGUGUUCGUAAUGUGUAUUACCUUCUACUUUAUCAGAGAGUCAAUAAAAAAAGUCCUACAGUGAUAAAUAA